This 1487-nucleotide long non-coding RNA is filed under the name Apteryx rowi (Okarito brown kiwi). RNAcentral's name for it is "lncRNA (ENSARWG00000008741.1)". The record is from RNAcentral. Lineage: Eukaryota; Metazoa; Chordata; Aves; Apterygiformes; Apterygidae.
CGAAGUGCUUAACUUCACCAGCCGGGAGGAGAAACCCAACCGGGAAAGCGCUAGCGAAUCUCUUAGUGCAACCGCUGCACUUGUGAUGAACGUUAUGUUAAAAAAAAUGCUGGAAUCCCUUCUAGCGUAUUGAAAAACGUGAAAGGCGUGUAGUCACUGUGUCGGGUUGACUUCAAAAAUUGCACAAUAGUCUCCCUACUGAGGAAGCGGUAGGACUGAUCCGUAAGACUGCAAAGUCGUGAGGAUAAGCUGCCUAGUCAGUACUGCUGGUACCCUUUCACCCAUUCAGAGAGCCCCCAUUUUAUACUUCCGCUCUCCUUGUCGGACUCGAGCAAAAUGAUGAGCCCCUAAAUGUGUUACCUGGUUAAAGCAAUCAGGUUUCUCUUUAAAAUUAAAAAAAAAAAAAAAAAAAAAAGACAGUUCACGUCUUGUUUCCUCCAAGAUAAUGGAGAUUAAGGCGAAGGAGGAAGAAAAAAGAAAGGGAAACAAAAAGCAAGUGACCCCGACGUGAUUCGAACACGCAGCCUUCUGAUCUGGAGUCAGACGCGCUACCGUUGCGCCACGAGGUCCUGCUGAGCAGGCGCGCGCAGAGCCUUAGAACUCGCCCAUCACGGACCGCCGGUGGGACAUGGCCCGGGGGACCUCAGGGGCCGGCGCCGGUGAAGACCCCCUUCUCACUCCCCUAUGGCGACCUCACAGAUUACAACCGCAGGCUCGUGUUUGCUGGGGCGGGGAGGCAGACGUAUCGCGGUCUCCUGCCGAUAGCUCGUCUUCCCUCCCGUCCCAUAACUGAAUGGUUUGGGGACCCUCACGCACAAAUCCAGGAGAACAACUGUGGAAGGAAAUUAGCAGACUCAGGGCAGUGAGGAGCGAAGCAGCAGCUCGGAUAUCUUUGCAUUCGUAUUUUUGCAUCUGGUUCAUGUAGACAGUUUUUUUUUUUCCCCUGGGAACUUGGGAAGCGCUUGAGUCAGCAGUCCUCGGAGUGAAAGCACCUGCUUCUUACCUACCCAAAAAGGGAAUGAGAGAAAUGGAAACCAAUUACUCUGGAAUUUGAGAGUAAAAGGCUGAAGGACACAUACUGACUAUAUAGCCCAAUACUGAUUCAGUCAGCAGUAACAUGGUUGUAAGUUUGCAUCAUGGUGACAUUAUACAGGGAACUAUAUUUAAUUUACUAGCUUGUUAGAUGAAUUAACACCAUACGUAAAUGGACGAUGAGAACAACCAGCAUUCUUGUUUGAUGGUCUCUGCUACUGCUAGUAUUUCUUUGGGUAAAAGGACCCCAGGCUAGCUUGUUCAGAUGAGCAUGGCUUAAAAAAAAAAGUCAAUCCAUAUGUAGAUGUCUAAAUAUAAAUGACCUAUAGCUGAAGCAUUUCUAAAAAUUGGGCUACUCAUUUAAGUAUCUGGGUAUAAAUGUGUUCCUCACUGCAUGCAGCAAAUUUGAAAAUUUUACCCUGAUAAGUGAGAAAUAAAGUUUCCUAAUAAUUUCA